This 253-nucleotide ribosomal RNA is filed under the name uncultured bacterium. RNAcentral describes it as "partial 16S ribosomal RNA". It matches the Rfam family "Bacterial small subunit ribosomal RNA", at positions 524 to 776 of the family's 1533-position model. The record is from RNAcentral.
UACGUAGGUGGCAAGCGUUAUCCGGAAUUACUGGGCGUAAAGCGCACGCAGGCGGUUCUUCAAGUCUGACGUAAAAGCUCCUGGCCUAACUGGGAGAGGUCGUUGGAGACUGAGGGACUUGAGGUGAUGAGAGGGGUGUGGAAUUCCCGGUGUAGUGGUGGAAUGCGUAGAUAUCGGAAGGAACGCCGGUGGCGAAAGCGAGUCGCUGGAUCUCUUCUGACGCUGAUGCGCGAAAGCCAGGGGAGCAAACGGG